GGCGGACGGGGGACGCGGGCGGGGGCCUCGCGCAGGACCCGCGGGCUGCAAGCGAAGCUGGACACCUUACUUCCUCCUUCCCCGCCCGCGGCCAGCCCGGCUUUGCGGAGGGAUAUCUCACCCCUCCUCUGUCCCUCUCCUCCCUUCGCCCGCCUCCCCCCUUUUUUGCUCUUGCUCCCCCCGCCCCACCUCACCCCGCCUUUCUCCUUUUGCAAGAAAAUAAUUUGACAGUCGAUUUGCUGACAGGGGAAGAAUUUGCAUCCUGGAUUAAAAAAAAAAAAGGCCGAGAGGAGCUUGGGAACGGUUGCUAGGGGUGGGUAAUGGUGAAGAAGGAGGGGGUACCGAGGAUCGGCUGAGGGAGGGGGCGAGGGUGGGGAGCCAUGCAAAAGGUAAGGCCAGGUUGCCGCGGCUCGGCCCCGUGUGGGCUGCGGCCGGGGGAGGGGCGAGAGAUGCAUAUGUAUUUCGGGCUCCCCAGCACACCCCCUUCCCUCCCAGCGAUGGCUGAGGCGGUGCAUGCAGACGGGGAGUAAGUUUCCUGAAGGGGCGGGCGGCUGCACGCGCGCAGCCCGGCGCUGCGAAUUUGCACCCGGGAGGGAGAGUGGUGGAUGCGGAGAGUUUAGAGUUGCUGGCGGAGGGCAGGAGGGGAGCCGGGCGGGGAACGGGGGCUGGCGGGCGCUAUAGCUGGGAGUAAGUUUCCAGGAUCGGGAGAGCCUGCACGCUAGCUCGCUACCCCACCGGCCCCCUGUCGCACCCCCCCAAGCGGAGACUGGGCUUCCUGUCUUUUUGCCAUGCACUUGUUGCAGAAGCAGCCAAGUCUUCCGAUACUCAGGCCCUAAAGAGCUCCAGACAGCCCCCCGCCGAAUGAUCAGCCCCGCAAAUGCUCUGAUAAAUUCAGGAGAGAAUCAUGCGGCCUACAGUCAUCCACUGAUGGAUUGUCCCGACCAGAAGUUACACAGGGAAGAGAUGAAACAAGCUCACCCUGCUUGGUUCUGGGCCAAGGCUUGGCUAUGCAGAACACAAGGCUGAGGAGGCCCUGAUCCCUCUUCGAGGCCUACUUGGGGAUAGCACGAUGUCCUGAGAGGUCACCCAGGCUGAACUCUGUAUCUGGCCCCUGACGGCCUCCCAGGUCCUGACCAGCUGGCCCCUGCUACACCCAGUGGCUGCAGAGCACUGUAGUGCUAAGUGUGUACUAAUGCACCAGGAGUCUGACCUAAUAAAGAAAAAAUAAGUAUGUAAAAGACAA
Molecule: long non-coding RNA, 1243 nt
Filed under: Heterocephalus glaber (naked mole-rat)
Lineage: Eukaryota; Metazoa; Chordata; Mammalia; Rodentia; Bathyergidae
Description: lncRNA (ENSHGLG00000039708.1)
Source: RNAcentral